GACGAACCGAGCGAACGUUGUUCGGAAUAACUGGGCUUAAAGGGCGCGUAGGCGGGCGUUCAAGUUCGGGGUGAAAUCCUCCGGCUCAACCGGAGAACUGCCCCGAAUACUGGGCGUCUUGAGGGAGGUAGGGGCACGCGGAACUGUGGGUGGAGCGGUGAAAUGCGUUGAUAUCCACAGGAACUCCGGUGGCGAAGGCGGCGUGCUGGACCUUCACUGACGCUGAGGCGCGAAAGCCAGGGGAGCAAACGGG
This 253-nucleotide ribosomal RNA is filed under the name uncultured bacterium. RNAcentral describes it as "partial 16S ribosomal RNA". It matches the Rfam family "Bacterial small subunit ribosomal RNA", at positions 524 to 776 of the family's 1533-position model. The record is from RNAcentral.